This 31-nucleotide non-coding RNA is filed under the name Mus musculus (house mouse). The record is from RNAcentral. Lineage: Eukaryota; Metazoa; Chordata; Mammalia; Rodentia; Muridae.
UACAACUGAUCUAAAUUAGAUGCACUGCACC